AUUGCUUCUUGGCCUUUUGGCUAAGAUCAAGUGUAGUAUCUGUUCUUAUCAGUUUAAUAUCUGAUACGUCCUCUAUCUGAGGAUAAUAUAUUAAAUGGAUUUUUGAAGCUUGGAGUUGGAAUAGGAGCUUGCUCCAUCAACUCCACGCAUCGACCUGGUAUUGCAUUACUUCCAGGAAUGUUGCACCCCCU
RNAcentral lists this small nuclear RNA (191 nucleotides) under Jaculus jaculus (lesser Egyptian jerboa). Its description in RNAcentral is "U2 spliceosomal RNA (ENSJJAG00000004907.1)". It matches the Rfam family "U2 spliceosomal RNA". Rfam says of the family: U2 is a small nuclear RNA (snRNA) component of the spliceosome (involved in pre-mRNA splicing). Complementary binding between U2 snRNA (in an area lying towards the 5' end but 3' to hairpin I) and the branchpoint sequence (BPS) of the intron results the bulging out of an unpaired adenosine, on the BPS, which initiates a nucleophilic attack at the intronic 5' splice site, thus starting the first of two transesterification reactions that mediate splicing. Lineage: Eukaryota; Metazoa; Chordata; Mammalia; Rodentia; Dipodidae. The record is from Rfam by way of RNAcentral.